This is a non-coding RNA of Mus caroli (Ryukyu mouse), 544 nucleotides long. Lineage: Eukaryota; Metazoa; Chordata; Mammalia; Rodentia; Muridae. The record is from RefSeq and is a predicted model, not a curated record.
GGUGGGUCAGGUGACCCGAGGGGCUUCGGAGUGUGUUUGAGCAGUUGACUUAGGCCGUUUGCUCGGCCCAAAGUCCCCUCAGCAAUGGCGAGUCAGUCGCAGGGCAUCCAGCAGCUACUGCAGGCUGAGAAGGUGUCCGAGGCCCGCAAGCGAAAGAACCGGAGGCUGAAGCAGGCCAAAGAAGAAGCGCAGGCUGAAAUUGAACAGUACCGCCUGCAGAGGGAGAAGGAGUUCAAGGCCAAGGAAGCUGCGGCACUGGGCUCCCAUGGCAGCUGCAGCAGUGAGGUGGAAAAGGAGACCCAGGAGAAGAUGACCGUCCUCCAGAACUACUUCGAGCAGAACAGGGAUGAAGUCCUGGAUGACCUCUUGGCCUUUGUGUGUGACAUCCGGCCGGAAAUCCAUGAAAAUUACCGCAUAAAUGGAUAGGAGGUGGAAGCGCCUGCUCUGUGGGUUGGCAUGAAAUCUGCCCCCAUAGAAUAGGAAACCUCCACAGAGCUGGAGUUCUGUUCUGGAAGGCAUUAAAUUAUUUCUCUAUGCUGUUGUA